CUCGAAAUUGGCUAUUGGGUUGGGAGCUUCUAAAGUAGCUUAAAUCCUUUUACUGUGAUCAAGCCUAAUUCUAAAUCACAAAACAUUUCUAAAGAAUUUCAUGUUCCGAAAACAUAGAAAAAUGAGACUAAGAGAUUUAAACUUAGCUUUUUAAUAAUUCUUCAAGAUUCGGAAUUCUCAUUGCGAGGGCUACAAGAGGAACCCAUCAAUCAUACGUAUAGCAUCCCAAAAGCUAGAGUUCAUUCAAAAUCUUCUAAAUUAAGGUACGCGGG
This 272-nucleotide long non-coding RNA is filed under the name Capsicum annuum. RNAcentral's name for it is "long non-coding RNA (CANN_LNC000142)". The record is from RNAcentral. Lineage: Eukaryota; Viridiplantae; Streptophyta; Magnoliopsida; Solanales; Solanaceae.